This is a long non-coding RNA of Trematomus bernacchii (emerald rockcod), 351 nucleotides long. RefSeq lists it as uncharacterized. NCBI's taxonomy places the organism in Eukaryota, Metazoa, Chordata, Actinopteri, Perciformes, Nototheniidae. The record is from RefSeq and is a predicted model, not a curated record. The transcript has 3 exons.
GAGCAAUCUGCGUUCAUCCUGGAAGUGGAACUCUUGAGCAGUGGAACAACAGGCUUUUAACCUAAUAAUCUAUCAAGUUACCUGGAUGAUUCGGUGGAAAGAAUAAGAGAGGUUGCCAUCCGGUGCUUGGUGGUGUGUCUUCGUGAAAAGGAGGAUCUCUUCAAGGACAACUUAAGAUGGUGAAGUGGAAGUUAGCAAUGAGGUGCUGAAGACUGUCUUGACCAGGGCUGCGGAUGCAAGAAUAGGGAUUGAAGGAACAGAAGUCCUUCAGAUCUCAGAUGCGACCAGAGCCUGUGCCAUGCUCAUGGGGCUAAUACACACUCAACCUGAACUACCUAAAGCAGAUGUUAA